AGGGUGACAGGUGGUGCAUGGUUGUCGUCAGCUCGUGUCGUGAGGUGUUCGGUUAAGUCCGCUAACGAGCGCAACCCUCGCUGUGUGUUACAAGUGUCACACGGAACUGCCGGUCAUAAACCGGAGGAAGGUGGGGAUGACGUCAAGUCAGCAUGGCCUUUAUAUCCUGGGCUACACACACGCUACAAUGGGAAGGGACAAUAGGUUGCGAAGCCGCGAGGCGGAGCCAAUCCAGCAAAACUUCCCUCAGUUCAGAUUGCAGGCUGCAACCCGCCUGCAUGAAGUUGGAGUUGCUAGUAAACGCAGGUCAGCCAUACUGCGUUGAAUACGUUCCUGGGGCUU
Molecule: ribosomal RNA, 342 nt
Filed under: uncultured Anaerolineaceae bacterium
Lineage: Bacteria; Bacillati; Chloroflexota; Anaerolineae; Anaerolineales; Anaerolineaceae
Description: bacterial SSU rRNA
Rfam family: Bacterial small subunit ribosomal RNA
Source: RNAcentral